This 446-nucleotide RNase P RNA is filed under the name Rubrivivax sp. Its description in RNAcentral is "RNase P RNA component class A". It matches the Rfam family "Bacterial RNase P class A". From Rfam's summary of the family: Ribonuclease P (RNase P) is a ubiquitous endoribonuclease, found in archaea, bacteria and eukarya as well as chloroplasts and mitochondria. Lineage: Bacteria; Pseudomonadati; Pseudomonadota; Betaproteobacteria; Burkholderiales; Sphaerotilaceae. The record is from RNAcentral.
GAAGCAGGCCAGACCGCCGCUGGUGCGAACGGGGAAACCCGGCACUGGAGGAAGGUCCGGACUGCACAGAGCACCGUAGCAGCUAACGGCUGUCCACCGCGAGGUGAGGAUCAGAGCAACAGAGACGAGUCGGUGCGGGGACCCGCCCGGGUGUUCUGUCACGCGCCGGCGCAAGCCGGCACUGGGGCGCGAAGCGCCGCAGCCGAGGGCGCAAGCCCGAGGAGCGUGACAGCCGCCCGGUGCGGGGCGAAGCCGCGCACCGGGUGAAACGGGCAAUCUCUACGGGCAGCAACACCAAGUAGGCCGGCGUCGAUGUGGCUCGCGGAGCCGGCGGGUAGGUGGCACCGAGCCGGGUGGGCGACCCCCGGCCCAGAGGAAUGGCGGUCACGGCCGCCUUCGCAAGAAGGCGCGCCGCACAGAAUCCGGCCUAUCGGCCUGCUUCACAC